UAGCGUAUAUUAAAGUUGUUGCAGUUAGAACGCUCGUAGUCGGAUUUCGGGGCGGGCCGAGCGGUCUGCCGAUGGGUAUGCACUGUUCGGCGCGUCCUUCUUUCCGGAGACCGCGCCUACUCUUAGCUGAGCGGGCGCGGGAGACGGAUCGUUUACUUUGAAAAAAUCAGAGUGUUUCAAGCAGGCAGCUCGCUCUUGCAUGGAUUAGCAUGGGAUAAUGAAAUAGGACUCUGGUGCUAUUUUGUUGGUUUCGAACACCGGAGUAAUGAUUAACAGGGACAGUCAGGGGCACUCGUAUUCCGUCGAGAGAGGUGAAAUUCUCAGACCAAUGGAAGACGAACUACUGCGAAAGCAUUUG
This 358-nucleotide ribosomal RNA is filed under the name Haptophyta environmental samples. RNAcentral's name for it is "SSU rRNA". It matches the Rfam family "Eukaryotic small subunit ribosomal RNA", at positions 595 to 957 of the family's 1831-position model. The record is from RNAcentral. Lineage: Eukaryota; Haptophyta.